AGAGUUUGAUCCUGGCUCAGGAUGAACGCUGGCGGCGUGCCUAACACAUGCAAGUCGAGCGAUCUUCUUCGGAAGAGAGCGGCGGACGGGUGAGUAACGCGUGGGUAACCUGCCCUGUACACACGGAUAACAUACCGAAAGGUAUGCUAAUACGAGAUAAUAUGCUUUUAUCGCAUGGUAGAAGUAUCAAAGCUCCGGCGGUACAGGAUGGACCCGCGUCUGAUUAGCUAGUUGGUAAGGUAACGGCUUACCAAGGCGACGAUCAGUAGCCGACCUGAGAGGGUGAUCGGCCACAUUGGAACUGAGACACGGUCCAAACUCCUACGGGAGGCAGCAGUGGGGAAUAUUGCACAAUGGGCGAAAGCCUGAUGCAGCAACGCCGCGUGAGCGAUGAAGGCCUUCGGGUCGUAAAGCUCUGUCCUCAAGGAAGAUAAUGACGGUACUUGAGGAGGAAGCCCCGGCUAACUACGUGCCAGCAGCCGCGGUAAUACGUAGGGGGCAAGCGUUAUCCGGAAUUACUGGGCGUAAAGGGUGCGUAGGUGGUUUCUUAAGUCAGAGGUGAAAGGCUACGGCUCAACCGUAGUAAGCCUUUGAAACUGGGAAACUUGAGUGCAGGAGAGGAGAGUGGAAUUCCUAGUGUAGCGGUGAAAUGCGUAGAUAUUAGGAGGAACACCAGUUGCGAAGGCGGCUUUCUGGACUGUAACUGACACUGAGGCACGAAAGCGUGGGGAGCAAACAGGAUUAGAUACCCUGGUAGUCCACGCCGUAAACGAUGAGUACUA
RNAcentral lists this ribosomal RNA (782 nucleotides) under Clostridium sp. A254.MGS-251. RNAcentral describes it as "bacterial SSU rRNA". It matches the Rfam family "Bacterial small subunit ribosomal RNA", at positions 8 to 818 of the family's 1533-position model. The record is from RNAcentral. Lineage: Bacteria; Bacillati; Bacillota; Clostridia; Eubacteriales; Clostridiaceae.